AGUCGAACGCAACCUUCGGGUUGAGUGGCGGACGGGUGAGUAACGCGUGAGAAUCUGCCUUGGGGUCGGGGACAACCACUGGAAACGGUGGCUAAUACCGGAUAAGCCUUUGGGUAAAAGAUUUAUUGCCCCAAGAGGAGCUCGCGUCUGAUUAGCUAGUUGGUGAGGUAAAAGCUCACCAAGGCAGCGAUCAGUAGCUGGUCUGAGAGGACGAUCAGCCACACUGGGACUGAGACACGGNCCAGACUCCUACGGGAGGCAGCAGUGGGGAAUUUUCCGCAAUGGGCGAAAGCCUGACGGAGCAAGACCGCGUGAGGGAGGAAGGCUCUUGGGUUGUAAACCUCUUUUCUCAGGGAAGAAGCUCUGACGGUACCUGAGGAAUCAGCCUCGGCUAACUCCGUGCCAGCAGCCGCGGUAAUACGGGGGAGGCAAGCGUUAUCCGGAAUUAUUGGGCGUAAAGCGUCCGCAGGUGGCGAUUCAAGUCUGCUGUCAAAGCACGGGGCUUAACUCCGUUAAGGCAGUGGAAACUGAAUAGCUAGAGUGCCGUAGGGGUAGAGGGAAUUCCCGGUGUAAGCGGUGAAAUGCGUAGAGAUCGGGAAGAACAUCGGUGGCGAAAGCGCUCUACUGGACGGCAACUGACACUCAGGGACGAAAGCUAGGGGAGCGAAUGGGAUUAGAUACCCCAGUAGUCCUAGCUGUAAACGAUGGAUACUAGGUGUAGCUUUGUAUCGGACCCGAGCUGUG
Molecule: ribosomal RNA, 744 nt
Filed under: uncultured organism
Description: bacterial SSU rRNA
Rfam family: Bacterial small subunit ribosomal RNA
Source: RNAcentral